GAACGCUGGCGGCGUGCUUAACACAUGCAAGUCGAACGGUAAGGCCCUUUCGGGGGUACACGAGUGGCGAACGGGUGAGUAACACGUGGGUGAUCUGCCCUGCACUUUGGGAUAAGCCUGGGAAACUGGGUCUAAUACCGAAUAUUCCUUGCUGGUCGCAUGGCCUGGUGGGGGAAAGCUUUUGCGGUGUGGGAUGGGCCCGCGGCCUAUCAGCUUGUUGGUGGGGUGAUGGCCUACCAAGGCGACGACGGGUAGCCGGCCUGAGAGGGUGUCCGGCCACACUGGGACUGAGAUACGGCCCAGACUCCUACGGGAGGCAGCAGUGGGGAAUAUUGCACAAUGGGCGCAAGCCUGAUGCAGCGACGCCGCGUGAGGGAUGACGGCCUUCGGGUUGUAAACCUCUUUCAGUACAGACGAAGCGUAAGUGACGGUAUGUACAGAAGAAGCACCGGCCAACUACGUGCCAGCAGCCGCGGUAAUACGUAGGGUGCGAGCGUUGUCCGGAAUUACUGGGCGUAAAGAGCUCGUAGGUGGUUUGUCGCGUUGUUCGUGAAAACCGGGGGCUUAACCCUCGGCGUGCGGGCGAUACGGGCAGACUUGAGUACUGCAGGGGAGACUGGAAUUCCUGGUGUAGCGGUGGAAUGCGCAGAUAUCAGGAGGAACACCGGUGGCGAAGGCGGGUCUCUGGGCAGUAACUGAC
This 700-nucleotide ribosomal RNA is filed under the name Mycobacterium sp. L1864. RNAcentral describes it as "bacterial SSU rRNA". It matches the Rfam family "Bacterial small subunit ribosomal RNA", at positions 31 to 744 of the family's 1533-position model. The record is from RNAcentral. Lineage: Bacteria; Bacillati; Actinomycetota; Actinomycetes; Mycobacteriales; Mycobacteriaceae.